ACAGUGAUGGCCAACUUGGCCCUCCAGCUGUUUUGGGACUACAAUUCCCAUCAUCCCUGACCACUGGUCCUGUUAGCUAGGGAUGAUGAGAGUUGUAGUCCCAAAACAGCUGGAGGGCCAGGUUUGGCCAUCACUGAU
This 138-nucleotide microRNA precursor is filed under the name Podarcis lilfordi (Lilford's wall lizard). Lineage: Eukaryota; Metazoa; Chordata; Lepidosauria; Squamata; Lacertidae. The record is from RNAcentral.